CGGGAUGUAGCGCAACGGCAGCGCGCCAGUCUGGGGGGCUGGAGGGUGCGGGUUCGAGUCCCGCCGUCCCGACCA
This 75-nucleotide transfer RNA is filed under the name Actinomadura violacea. RNAcentral's name for it is "Actinomadura sp. LCR2-06 tRNA-Pro". It matches the Rfam family "tRNA". From Rfam's summary of the family: Transfer RNA (tRNA) molecules are approximately 80 nucleotides in length. Their secondary structure includes four short double-helical elements and three loops (D, anti-codon, and T loops). Lineage: Bacteria; Bacillati; Actinomycetota; Actinomycetes; Streptosporangiales; Thermomonosporaceae. The record is from RNAcentral.